RNAcentral lists this ribosomal RNA (253 nucleotides) under uncultured bacterium. RNAcentral's name for it is "partial 16S ribosomal RNA". It matches the Rfam family "Bacterial small subunit ribosomal RNA", at positions 524 to 776 of the family's 1533-position model. The record is from RNAcentral.
UACGGAGGAUCCGAGCGUUAUCCGGAUUUAUUGGGUUUAAAGGGAGCGUAGGCGGGUUGUUAAGUCAGUUGUGAAAGUUUGCGGCUCAACCGUAAAAUUGCAGUUGAUACUGGCAUCCUUGAGUACAGUAGAGGUAGGCGGAAUUCGUGGUGUAGCGGUGAAAUGCUUAGAUAUCACGAAGAACUCCGAUUGCGAAGGCAGCCUGCUAAGCUGCAACUGACACUGAUGCUCGAAAGUGUGGGUAUCAAACAGG